This 433-nucleotide ribosomal RNA is filed under the name uncultured bacterium. RNAcentral's name for it is "partial 16S ribosomal RNA". It matches the Rfam family "Bacterial small subunit ribosomal RNA", at positions 29 to 507 of the family's 1533-position model. The record is from RNAcentral.
AGCGAACGCUGGCGGCAGGCCUAACACAUGCAAGUCGAACGGAUCCUUCGGGAUUAGUGGCGGACGGGUGAGUAACACGUGGGAACGUGCCCUUUGGUUCGGAACAACUCAGGGAAACUUGAGCUAAUACCGGAUGUGCCCUUCGGGGGAAAGAUUUAUCGCCAUUGGAGCGGCCCGCGUCUGAUUAGCUAGUUGGUGAGGUAACGGCCCACCAAGGCGACGAUCAGUAUCUGGUCUGAGAGGAUGAUCAGCCACACUGGGACUGAGACACGGCCCAGACUCCUACGGGAGGCAGCAGUGGGGAAUCUUGCGCAAUGGGCGAAAGCCUGACGCAGCCAUGCCGCGUGAAUGAUGAAGGUCUUAGGAUUGUAAAAUUCUUUCAGCGGGGACGAUAAUGACGGUACCCGCAGAAGAAGCUCCGGCUAACUUCGUG